RNAcentral lists this ribosomal RNA (253 nucleotides) under uncultured bacterium. RNAcentral describes it as "partial 16S ribosomal RNA". It matches the Rfam family "Bacterial small subunit ribosomal RNA", at positions 524 to 776 of the family's 1533-position model. The record is from RNAcentral.
UACGUAGGGGGCAAGCGUUGUCCGGAAUCAUUGGGCGUAAAGAGCGUGUAGGCGGCUCGAUAAGUCUGCUGUGAAAGUCCAGGGCUCAACCCUGGAAGGCCGGUGGAAACUGUCGGGCUAGAGUCCGGAAGAGGCGAGUGGAAUUCCCGGUGUAGCGGUGAAAUGCGCAGAUAUCAGGAAGAACACCCGUGGCGAAGGCGGCUCUCUGGAACGCAACUGACACUGAGACGCGAAAGCGUGGGGAGCAAACAGG